GGGUGUAUGGUGACCAGGUUUUAAAUAUGACUACCUGAAGCAGGCUGUCCUCAGAGCUUGGCAUGUGUUUGUCACAUCAUGCUCUUUUACCUGGUCUAAGUAUACCAGCUUAAUGGGAGUUGAUCUGUUCCAGGACGGUCUGAAAUGGCCCACUGAAACUGGUCAUUGGAAGACUAGACAAUAUCCCUGCCUCUAUUUGCGUUGCAGCAAAAUUCCAUUGGAUUAGCACUGGAUGCAGCUAUGGCAGGCUAUGUACCUUCACACCAAUUUGCUAGAGCGUCUGCAGCCAAAUGUUUUCAUAGGAAAAAAUGGCUCAUCAGCGAACAGUGUUUGUCCACACAGAGCAGAGGUCUGUGUCCAGCUGUUCCUCCUAACACGGAGAAGAAGUCUGGUUCACCUCAGCCAGGCAGCUGAGUUAAGAGGUAAGUGCAGGGGAAAUUCCAUGGAUAUCAUGGAACUUGGGCUAAAAUGUUGCAUACAGAGAUUUAUUUGAGAUUCCAGAUGUUUUAAAUUGUCUUUGUAAAAAUAAAA
Long non-coding RNA from Struthio camelus australis, 531 nucleotides. The record is from Ensembl. NCBI's taxonomy places the organism in Eukaryota, Metazoa, Chordata, Aves, Struthioniformes, Struthionidae.